This is a long non-coding RNA of Rosa chinensis, 486 nucleotides long. RefSeq lists it as uncharacterized. NCBI's taxonomy places the organism in Eukaryota, Viridiplantae, Streptophyta, Magnoliopsida, Rosales, Rosaceae. The record is from RefSeq and is a predicted model, not a curated record. The transcript has 2 exons.
AGCUCUAGCCACCACCAUUCACCUUUUUCGUUGCCGGCGCCGAUUCCGACAAAAUCCAGCCAAAAUUUUUACACCAUCCUCUUCCUCUCCUCAUGGGCUUUCUAUCCAUAUAAGUUUCAUAAUUUAUUUUCACUUGUGUGCAACGAAUCGAAGGAGAGAAUGUUUGAUAAUUCUUGGCUAAUUUCCCGAUUUCCGGCCAAGCCGUCGACUUUUUGGAGAAAUCCCAAGGUAAUCCGGUUGAGCAAGCUUCCGAGGACAUUCAAGAGAUGGGACUCACCUAGUCACCCUCCAUUGUGAGUUGGACUCUAUGAAGCACGGAUACGCCAUUUUGGCCUCGUAUCCCAUAUCAAUCCGGGAUACGGGUACGAUACGCAGUGGAUACGCUUGGAUACGCAGAUCUGGAUUUGGAUAGGUCCGUAUCUGAAUAGGAUACGAAUUUUUGUAAUUAAAUUGGAUACGCGGGGGUAAUAGUGACUUUUUACGCUG